CAGAGAUCAUGCCCUCACGGGUAGACCUCCCACCCUGUGUUAUUUACUAUUGUUGCUUUGGCAGGCCGCCUUCGGGCUCCCGGCUCCGGCUGGGGUGCGCCUGCCAGAGGACCCAAACUCGUUUGUUAGUGAUGUCUGAGUACUAUAUAAUAGUUAAA
Molecule: unclassified non-coding RNA, 158 nt
Filed under: uncultured Ascomycota
Lineage: Eukaryota; Fungi; Ascomycota
Description: sequence contains ITS1
Source: RNAcentral